CUUAAAUCUCGUGCAAGAAAGAUUUCAGGAUUCAAAGAAUUAGCUGGACUAUGUCUCCAGGUGGAUGACUCUAUGGAAACUUUGAGCUGUAUGGAACAACCUCCUGAUCAUCCAUUUACCUUGCUUUGGUACAUUAGGACUUUAAUAGAAACUGCCUAAUGUGCAGACGGAGUCUCACUCUUGUCACACAGGCUGGAGUGCAG
This 203-nucleotide long non-coding RNA is filed under the name Homo sapiens (human). Its description in RNAcentral is "HSALNT0310712". The record is from RNAcentral. Lineage: Eukaryota; Metazoa; Chordata; Mammalia; Primates; Hominidae.